RNAcentral lists this small RNA (568 nucleotides) under Pan troglodytes (chimpanzee). RNAcentral's name for it is "sense intronic". Lineage: Eukaryota; Metazoa; Chordata; Mammalia; Primates; Hominidae. The record is from RNAcentral.
UAGAUUUUGGGCCUGAGCAAGUGGGUGAGUAGUGCAGCUGUUUUCUAAGAUGGUGAGAUGCGAAACCGAGAAGGUUUAGGGGAGGGGUGGGAUGUGGUGGUCUUUGAACGUAUUGGGCUGAAAUGUCCAUUAGACAUCCAGGUAGACUCCAUACAAAUCUGGAAUUCAGAAAAGAGUAGGAAUUGGAAACAGGAAUUUGAGAGUUGUCAUUAUAUAGUUAGUAUGUAAAGAAAGCCAUGGGAAGGAUACAGAAAGCCAUUAUACAGAAAGCCAUUAUAUAGUCAAUAUAUGUAAUACAGAAAGCCAUUUAUAUAGUCAGUAUGUAAAGAAAGGCAUGGGAAGGAUACAGAAAGGCGAGCCCUGAGCCCUCCAGCUUUUCAAAGUCAGAUGGAAGAGGAGUCAGCAAAGGCUCAGAGUUAGACCUGGUUGUCGGUUCUUAACCUCUCAGAGCCACAGUUUCUUCACCUGUAAAAUGGGGAUAUUAAUACCUGGUUUGCCUAUUUCAUAGAAGUGUGGAAAAGGCUUAACUGGGAUGCCCACUAGAAAUAAAGGUUUUGUUAUUAUGUAA